This 581-nucleotide ribosomal RNA is filed under the name uncultured Fusobacteriota bacterium. Its description in RNAcentral is "bacterial SSU rRNA". It matches the Rfam family "Bacterial small subunit ribosomal RNA", at positions 107 to 702 of the family's 1533-position model. The record is from RNAcentral. Lineage: Bacteria; Fusobacteriati; Fusobacteriota.
UGAGUAACGCGUAAAGAACUUGCCUUACAGACUGGGACAACAUUUGGAAACGAAUGCUAAUACCGGAUAUUAUGAUUGGGUCGCAUGAUCUGGUUAUGAAAGCUAUAUGCGCUGUGAGAGAGCUUUGCGUCCCAUUAGUUAGUUGGUGAGGUAACGGCUCACCAAGACGAUGAUGGGUAGCCGGCCUGAGAGGGUGAACGGCCACAAGGGGACUGAGACACGGCCCUUACUCCUACGGGAGGCAGCAGUGGGGAAUAUUGGACAAUGGACCAAAAGUCUGAUCCAGCAAUUCUGUGUGCACGAAGAAGUUUUUCGGAAUGUAAAGUGCUUUCAGUUGGGAAGAAGUCAGUGACGGUACCAACAGAAGAAGCGACGGCUAAAUACGUGCCAGCAGCCGCGGUAAUACGUAUGUCGCAAGCGUUAUCCGGAUUUAUUGGGCGUAAAGCGCGUCUAGGCGGCUUAGUAAGUCUGAUGUGAAAAUGCGGGGCUCAACCCCGUAUUGCGUUGGAAACUGCUAAACUAGAGUACUGGAGAGGUAGGCGGAACUACAAGUGUAGAGGUGAAAUUCGUAGAUAUUUGUA